RNAcentral lists this transfer RNA (73 nucleotides) under Odocoileus virginianus texanus. It matches the Rfam family "tRNA". From Rfam's summary of the family: Transfer RNA (tRNA) molecules are approximately 80 nucleotides in length. Their secondary structure includes four short double-helical elements and three loops (D, anti-codon, and T loops). The record is from Rfam by way of RNAcentral. RNAcentral also lists the same sequence under 6 other names. Lineage: Eukaryota; Metazoa; Chordata; Mammalia; Artiodactyla; Cervidae.
UCCCUGGUGGUCCAGUGGUUAAGACUCAGUGCUUUCACUGCUGAGGGCCUGGGUUCAAUUCCUGGUCAGGGAA